AGAGUUUGAUCCUGGCUCAGAUUGAACGCUGGCGGCAUGCUUUACACAUGCAAGUCGAACGGUAACGCGGGGCAACCUGGCGACGAGUGGCGAACGGGUGAGUAAUGCAUCGGAACGUGCCCAGUAGUGGGGGAUAGCCCGGCGAAAGCCGGAUUAAUACCGCAUACGACCUACGGGUGAAAGGGGGGGAUCGCAAGACCUCUCGCUAUUGGAGCGGCCGAUGUCAGAUUAGCUAGUUGGUGGGGUAAAGGCCUACCAAGGCGACGAUCCGUAGCGGGUCUGAGAGGAUGAUCCGCCACACUGGGACUGAGACACGGCCCAGACUCCUACGGGAGGCAGCAGUGGGGAAUUUUGGACAAUGGGCGCAAGCCUGAUCCAGCCAUGCCGCGUGAGUGAAGAAGGCCUUCGGGUUGUAAAGCUCUUUCAGACGGAAAGAAAUCGCGCGGGCGAAUAACCUGCGUGGAUGACGGUACUGUCAGAAGAAGCACCGGCUAACUACGUGCCAGCAGCCGCGGUAAUACGUAGGGUGCGAGCGUUAAUCGGAAUUACUGGGCGUAAAGCGUGCGCAGGCGGUUGUGUAAGACAGGUGUGAAAUCCCCGGGCUUAACCUGGGAACUGCGCUUGUGACUGCACGGCUAGAGUACGGCAGAGGGGGGUGGAAUUCCACGUGUAGCANUGAAAUGCGUANAGAUGUGGAGGAACACCGAUGGCGAANGCAGCCCCCUGGGCCGAUACUGACGCUCAUGCACNAAAGCGUGGGGAGCAAACANGAUUANAUACCCUGGUANUCCACNCCCUAAAC
Molecule: ribosomal RNA, 802 nt
Filed under: uncultured bacterium
Lineage: Bacteria
Description: bacterial SSU rRNA
Rfam family: Bacterial small subunit ribosomal RNA
Source: RNAcentral